GGCCUUACGAGUAGGGCUACACACGUGCUACAAUGGCGUAUACAAAGAGAAGCGACCUCGCGAGAGCAAGCGGACCUCAUAAAGUACGUCGUAGUCCGGAUUGGAGUCUGCAACUCGACUCCAUGAAGUCGGAAUCGCUAGUAAUCGUAGAUCAGAAUGCUACGGUGAAUACGUUCCCGGGCCUUGUACACACCGCCCGUCACACCAUGGGAGUGGGUUGCAAAAGAAGUAGGUAGCUUAACCUUCGGGAGGGCGCUUACCACUUUGUGAUUCAUGACUGGGGUGAAGUCGUAACAAGGUAACCGUAGGGGAACCUGCGGUUGGAUCACCUCC
RNAcentral lists this ribosomal RNA (333 nucleotides) under Serratia marcescens. RNAcentral describes it as "bacterial SSU rRNA". It matches the Rfam family "Bacterial small subunit ribosomal RNA", at positions 1198 to 1530 of the family's 1533-position model. The record is from RNAcentral. Lineage: Bacteria; Pseudomonadati; Pseudomonadota; Gammaproteobacteria; Enterobacterales; Yersiniaceae.